RNAcentral lists this ribosomal RNA (425 nucleotides) under uncultured bacterium. RNAcentral's name for it is "bacterial SSU rRNA". It matches the Rfam family "Bacterial small subunit ribosomal RNA", at positions 355 to 775 of the family's 1533-position model. The record is from RNAcentral.
UCGAGGAUCUUCGGCAAUGGGCGCAAGCCUGACCGAGCGACGCCGCGUGCGGGAUGAAGGCCUUCGGGUUGUAAACCGCUGUCAGAGGGGAUGAAAUAUUGGGGGGUUCUCCCCCUAGUUUGACAUAUCCUCAGAGGAAGUGUGGGCUAAGUUCGUGCCAGCAGCCGCGGUAAGACGAACCACACAAACGUUAUUCGGAAUUACUGGGCUUAAAGGGUGCGUAGGCGGCGCGGAAAGUUGGGUGUGAAAUCCCUCGGCUCAACCGAGGAACUGCGCCCAAAACUACCGUGCUCGAGGGAGAUAGAGGUGAGCGGAACUUAGGGUGGAGCGGUGAAAUGCGUUGAUAUCCUAAGGAACACCCGUGGCGAAAGCGGCUCACUGGGUCUCUUCUGACGCUGAGGCACGAAAGCUAGGGUAGCGAACGG